CCGUGAAAAAAUUAGAGUGUUCAAAGCAGGCAGAUCCAAUUUUCUGCCACCGAAUACAUUAGCAUGGGAUAAUGGAAUAGGACCCUGUCCUCCUAUUUUCAGUUGGUUUUGGCAGCGCGAGGACUAGGGUAAUGAUUAAUAGGGAUAGUUGGGGGCAUUAAUAUUUAAUUGUCAGAGGUGAAAUUCUUGGAUUUAUGAAAGAUUAACUUCUGCGAAAGCAUCUGCCAAGGAUGUUUUCAUUAAUCAAGAACGAAAGUUAGGGGAUCGAAGACGAUCAGAUACCGUCGUAGUCUUAACCAUAAACGAUGCCGACCAGCGAUUAGGAGACGUUGAAUACAAAACACCACCAUCGGUUGCGGUCGUCCUUGGCGUCUCGGUUUCGGCCGGGGCGCGGGGAUGGCUUAGCCCGGUGGCACCGGUGAAUGACUCCC
Molecule: ribosomal RNA, 431 nt
Filed under: Acanthamoeba castellanii
Lineage: Eukaryota; Discosea; Longamoebia; Acanthamoebidae
Description: SSU rRNA
Rfam family: Eukaryotic small subunit ribosomal RNA (bases 1-382)
Source: RNAcentral